CCUGCCCACUGAAAUUUUUUAAAUGGCCGCAGUAAUUUGACUGUGCAAAGGUAGCAUAAUCAUUAGUUUUUUAAUUAAAAGCUUGUAUGAAUGGUUGGACGAGGUAAAUUCUGUCUUUAUUUAAAUAAAAUUAGAAUUUAAUUUUUAAGUUAAAAAGCUUAAAUUAAUAUAAAAGACGAGAAGACCCUAUAGAUCUUUAUAUUAUUAUAAUAUAAUUUUAAUAAAGAAUUUUUAAUUUUUUAUAUUAUAUAAUAUUUUAUUGGGGUAAUAAAAAGAUUAAAUUAAUUCUUUUUGAUAUUUUACAUUGAUUUAUGAAUUUAAUGAUCCAAUUUUUUUGAUUAUAAGAUUAAGUUACCUUAGGGAUAACAGCGUAAUUUUUUUAGAGAGUUCAUAUCGAUAAAAAAGUUUGCGACCUCGAUGUUGGAUUAAAAAUUGUUUUAGGCGCAGAAGUUUAAAAAUUUGGUCUGUUCGACCAUUAAAUUUUUACAUGAUCUGAGUUCAGACCGGUGUAAGCCAGGUCGGUUUCUAUCUUUAUAGUUUUAUAAUAUUUUAGUACGAAAGGACCAAAUAUUUAAUAUAUUAAUAUUUAUAUUUUGAAUAUUAUUAAU
RNAcentral lists this ribosomal RNA (608 nucleotides) under Papuadytes sp. MB254. RNAcentral describes it as "partial 16S ribosomal RNA". It matches the Rfam family "Bacterial large subunit ribosomal RNA", at positions 1858 to 2760 of the family's 2925-position model. The record is from RNAcentral. Lineage: Eukaryota; Metazoa; Arthropoda; Insecta; Coleoptera; Dytiscidae.